This 520-nucleotide ribosomal RNA is filed under the name uncultured Entrophospora. Its description in RNAcentral is "SSU rRNA". It matches the Rfam family "Eukaryotic small subunit ribosomal RNA", at positions 569 to 1084 of the family's 1831-position model. The record is from RNAcentral. Lineage: Eukaryota; Fungi; Glomeromycota; Glomeromycetes; Entrophosporales; Entrophosporaceae.
AGCAGCCGCGGUAAUUCCAGCUCCAAUAGCGUAUAUUAAAGUUGUUGCAGUUAAAAAGCUCGUAGUUGAAUUUCGGGAUUGGCGCAUCGGUCGUGCCUCACGGGGUAUGAACUGGUGCAGUCAAUUUCUCACCUUCUGGAGAACCGCGAUGUCCUUAAUUGGGUGCCGCGGGGAACCAGGACCUUUACUUUGAAAAAAUUAGAGUGUUUAAAGCAGGCAUUUUUGCUUGAAUACAUUAGCAUGGAAUAAUAAAAUAGGACGGCAUGGUUCUAUUUUGUUGGUUUCUAGGACCACCGUAAUGAUUAAUAGGGAUAGUUGGGGGCAUUAGUAUUCAAUUGUCAGAGGCGAAAUUCUUGGAUUUAUUGAAGACUAACUACUGCGAAAGCAUUUGCCAAGGAUGUUUUCAUUAAUCAAGAACGAAAGUUAGGGGAUCGAAGACGAUCAGAUACCGUCGUAGUCUUAACCAUAAACUAUGCCGACUAGGAAUCAGACGAUGUUAAUUUUUAAUGACUCGUUUGGC